UUAUAGCAUUAGACGAAUUAAAUUUGAAAAUAAGAUACACACCGUAUAUCCACACUUGAAUCUAAGAACGAAAAGUGCUCACGUGGCAGUCGAGAAUGAACCGCACUAAAGUAAAGAACGUGGUCUGACCAAAUAUCAAAAUGGCUACGUUAAAGAUUGACUAUGGUGUAAUAAAAUUAGAAGCCUUAUCGUAUAAUUAAGAAAAACAAAUUUAGCCUUAACUCAACAACCAUUUACCGUUCACCAAUGAUCAGUCACCCCAUGCUGUGCACAGGAAUAUACGUGAGCAAUGAGUUCAGAUUGUUUCUGGAAACUCCUGAACUCCUCAUUUACAAUGUGGACUCUUCCAGCAGAAAUUGUAGGAAAUUCACCAUGUCUAAAAUAGAAAUAAGAAAGGAGCUUACUUAAAUCAAUUUCUAUAUUUAUAGAAAUUCAUUUAAGUACAGAUUCAAAUUGAAAUUGAAAAAUUUGAAGGUACCCUCUUAGUAAAUACAAAACUUCAAAAAAUUGGUUUAUCAAACAACAAAAUUGCCACGUUGACGACUGACGCCGAGACUGAAUUUAAUUUUCUGGGAAAUUUAGUAGACUUGAGGUAUCUCAAUUAGAGGGAGAGUCUACUAGGUAGUCUGCAUCUUUCGUUCACUGUGGUAAAAAGAGAAGAAGUUGAUAUGGUAAAUUAUAGAAUUAAACAAAUUUCAGUGAGUAUAAUGUUACUUCUUUUGGAAAUAGUCAAUAUUUAUUUAUUUUUUAUUUACACUUUCAGUUGGUAAUUUUAUUUAAUAUCCCUACACCUAAGUCACAUCAAAUAACGAAAUUUCGGGAAUCAACAAUACAACGAAUGAUUAUAUGCAAUUGCAACUUCUUCUAUUUUUACCAUAGUGUAAGAAAAAUUCACACUAUUUCAUAGAUUUAUGCUCAAAUUUAGAUACCUCAAGCCUAGUAAAUUGUCUAAAAAAUUCAA
Molecule: long non-coding RNA, 961 nt
Organism: Aethina tumida (small hive beetle)
Lineage: Eukaryota; Metazoa; Arthropoda; Insecta; Coleoptera; Nitidulidae
Exons: 3
Source: RefSeq, a predicted model, not a curated record